This 252-nucleotide unclassified non-coding RNA is filed under the name uncultured fungus. RNAcentral describes it as "sequence contains ITS2". The stretch from base 1 to 52 matches the Rfam family "5.8S ribosomal RNA", at positions 103 to 154 of the family's 154-position model. The record is from RNAcentral. Lineage: Eukaryota; Fungi.
AACGCACAUUGCGCCCGCCGGUACUCCGGCGGGCAUGCCUGUCCGAGCGUCAUUGACAACCCUCAGGCCCUGGUGCCUGGUGUUGGGGCACUACAGCAUGCUGUAGGCCCUGAAAUCCAGUGGCGGGACCGCUGUAAACCCGGGCGUAGUAACAUUACGUCGUCCAGGGUGUUCCGGCGCGCCCCAGCCGUUAAACCCACCAUAUUUAUCAAUUUUGGCCUCGGAUCAGGUAGGAUUACCCGCUGAACUUAA